Cyprinus carpio (common carp) is the source of this 5256-nucleotide long non-coding RNA. NCBI's taxonomy places the organism in Eukaryota, Metazoa, Chordata, Actinopteri, Cypriniformes, Cyprinidae. The record is from Ensembl.
CUGUGCUUUGCGUCCAAGUUGAUACCUGUGGAGAGAAAAGGAGAGAGAGUGAAUAACACGAGGAGGAAUAGAGCGAACCCUGUACUUACAGUACGCUGUGUUCAGCCCAGAGGUGAGAGCCAUUCAAAGCAAACUAACUGUGCUAUUGUGCCCAAGUUGAUACCUGUGGAGAGAAAAGGAGAGAGAGUGAAUAACACGAGGAGGAAUAGAGCGAACCCUGUACUUACAGUACGCUGUGUUCAGCCCAGAGGUGAGAGCCAUUCAAAGCAAACUAACUGUGCUAUUGUGCCCAAGUUGAUACCUGUGGAGAGAAAAGGAGAGAGAGUGAAUAACACGAGGAGGAAUAGAGCGAACCCUGUACUUACAGUACGCUGUGUUCAGCCCAGAGGUGAGAGCCAUUCAAAGCAAACUAACUGUGCUAUUGUGCCCAAGUUGAUACCUGUGGAGAGAAAAGGAGAGAGAGUGAAUAACACGAGGAGGAAUAGAGCGAACCCUGUACUUACAGUACGCUGUGUUCAGCCCAGAGGUGAGAGCCAUUCAAAGCAAACUAACUGUGCUAUUGUGCCCAAGUUGAUACCUGUGGAGAGAAAAGGAGAGAGAGUGAAUAACACGAGGAGGAAUAGAGCGAACCCUGUACUUACAGUACGCUGUGUUCAGCCCAGAGGUGAGAGCCAUUCAAAGCAAACUAACUGUGCUAUUGUGCCCAAGUUGAUACCUGUGGAGAGAAAAGGAGAGAGAGUGAAUAACACGAGGAGGAAUAGAGCGAACCCUGUACUUACAGUACGCUGUGUUCAGCCCAGAGGUGAGAGCCAUUCAAAGCAAACUAACUGUGCUAUUGUGCCCAAGUUGAUACCUGUGGAGAGAAAAGGAGAGAGAGUGAAUAACACGAGGAGGAAUAGAGCGAACCCUGUACUUACAGUACGCUGUGUUCAGCCCAGAGGUGAGAGCCAUUCAAAGCAAACUAACUGUGCUAUUGUGCCCAAGUUGAUACCUGUGGAGAGAAAAGGAGAGAGAGUGAAUAACACGAGGAGGAAUAGAGCGAACCCUGUACUUACAGUACGCUGUGUUCAGCCCAGAGGUGAGAGCCAUUCAAAGCAAACUAACUGUGCUAUUGUGCCCAAGUUGAUACCUGUGGAGAGAAAAGGAGAGAGAGUGAAUAACACGAGGAGGAAUAGAGCGAACCCUGUACUUACAGUACGCUGUGUUCAGCCCAGAGGUGAGAGCCAUUCAAAGCAAACUAACUGUGCUAUUGUGCCCAAGUUGAUACCUGUGGAGAGAAAAGGAGAGAGAGUGAAUAACACGAGGAGGAAUAGAGCGAACCCUGUACUUACAGUACGCUGUGUUCAGCCCAGAGGUGAGAGCCAUUCAAAGCAAACUAACUGUGCUAUUGUGCCCAAGUUGAUACCUGUGGAGAGAAAAGGAGAGAGAGUGAAUAACACGAGGAGGAAUAGAGCGAACCCUGUACUUACAGUACGCUGUGUUCAGCCCAGAGGUGAGAGCCAUUCAAAGCAAACUAACUGUGCUAUUGUGCCCAAGUUGAUACCUGUGGAGAGAAAAGGAGAGAGAGUGAAUAACACGAGGAGGAAUAGAGCGAACCCUGUACUUACAGUACGCUGUGUUCAGCCCAGAGGUGAGAGCCAUUCAAAGCAAACUAACUGUGCUAUUGUGCCCAAGUUGAUACCUGUGGAGAGAAAAGGAGAGAGAGUGAAUAACACGAGGAGGAAUAGAGCGAACCCUGUACUUACAGUACGCUGUGUUCAGCCCAGAGGUGAGAGCCAUUCAAAGCAAACUAACUGUGCUAUUGUGCCCAAGUUGAUACCUGUGGAGAGAAAAGGAGAGAGAGUGAAUAACACGAGGAGGAAUAGAGCGAACCCUGUACUUACAGUACGCUGUGUUCAGCCCAGAGGUGAGAGCCAUUCAAAGCAAACUAACUGUGCUAUUGUGCCCAAGUUGAUACCUGUGGAGAGAAAAGGAGAGAGAGUGAAUAACACGAGGAGGAAUAGAGCGAACCCUGUACUUACAGUACGCUGUGUUCAGCCCAGAGGUGAGAGCCAUUCAAAGCAAACUAACUGUGCUAUUGUGCCCAAGUUGAUACCUGUGGAGAGAAAAGGAGAGAGAGUGAAUAACACGAGGAGGAAUAGAGCGAACCCUGUACUUACAGUACGCUGUGUUCAGCCCAGAGGUGAGAGCCAUUCAAAGCAAACUAACUGUGCUAUUGUGCCCAAGUUGAUACCUGUGGAGAGAAAAGGAGAGAGAGUGAAUAACACGAGGAGGAAUAGAGCGAACCCUGUACUUACAGUACGCUGUGUUCAGCCCAGAGGUGAGAGCCAUUCAAAGCAAACUAACUGUGCUAUUGUGCCCAAGUUGAUACCUGUGGAGAGAAAAGGAGAGAGAGUGAAUAACACGAGGAGGAAUAGAGCGAACCCUGUACUUACAGUACGCUGUGUUCAGCCCAGAGGUGAGAGCCAUUCAAAGCAAACUAACUGUGCUAUUGUGCCCAAGUUGAUACCUGUGGAGAGAAAAGGAGAGAGAGUGAAUAACACGAGGAGGAAUAGAGCGAACCCUGUACUUACAGUACGCUGUGUUCAGCCCAGAGGUGAGAGCCAUUCAAAGCAAACUAACUGUGCUAUUGUGCCCAAGUUGAUACCUGUGGAGAGAAAAGGAGAGAGAGUGAAUAACACGAGGAGGAAUAGAGCGAACCCUGUACUUACAGUACGCUGUGUUCAGCCCAGAGGUGAGAGCCAUUCAAAGCAAACUAACUGUGCUAUUGUGCCCAAGUUGAUACCUGUGGAGAGAAAAGGAGAGAGAGUGAAUAACACGAGGAGGAAUAGAGCGAACCCUGUACUUACAGUACGCUGUGUUCAGCCCAGAGGUGAGAGCCAUUCAAAGCAAACUAACUGUGCUAUUGUGCCCAAGUUGAUACCUGUGGAGAGAAAAGGAGAGAGAGUGAAUAACACGAGGAGGAAUAGAGCGAACCCUGUACUUACAGUACGCUGUGUUCAGCCCAGAGGUGAGAGCCAUUCAAAGCAAACUAACUGUGCUAUUGUGCCCAAGUUGAUACCUGUGGAGAGAAAAGGAGAGAGAGUGAAUAACACGAGGAGGAAUAGAGCGAACCCUGUACUUACAGUACGCUGUGUUCAGCCCAGAGGUGAGAGCCAUUCAAAGCAAACUAACUGUGCUAUUGUGCCCAAGUUGAUACCUGUGGAGAGAAAAGGAGAGAGAGUGAAUAACACGAGGAGGAAUAGAGCGAACCCUGUACUUACAGUACGCUGUGUUCAGCCCAGAGGUGAGAGCCAUUCAAAGCAAACUAACUGUGCUAUUGUGCCCAAGUUGAUACCUGUGGAGAGAAAAGGAGAGAGAGUGAAUAACACGAGGAGGAAUAGAGCGAACCCUGUACUUACAGUACGCUGUGUUCAGCCCAGAGGUGAGAGCCAUUCAAAGCAAACUAACUGUGCUAUUGUGCCCAAGUUGAUACCUGUGGAGAGAAAAGGAGAGAGAGUGAAUAACACGAGGAGGAAUAGAGCGAACCCUGUACUUACAGUACGCUGUGUUCAGCCCAGAGGUGAGAGCCAUUCAAAGCAAACUAACUGUGCUAUUGUGCCCAAGUUGAUACCUGUGGAGAGAAAAGGAGAGAGAGUGAAUAACACGAGGAGGAAUAGAGCGAACCCUGUACUUACAGUACGCUGUGUUCAGCCCAGAGGUGAGAGCCAUUCAAAGCAAACUAACUGUGCUAUUGUGCCCAAGUUGAUACCUGUGGAGAGAAAAGGAGAGAGAGUGAAUAACACGAGGAGGAAUAGAGCGAACCCUGUACUUACAGUACGCUGUGUUCAGCCCAGAGGUGAGAGCCAUUCAAAGCAAACUAACUGUGCUAUUGUGCCCAAGUUGAUACCUGUGGAGAGAAAAGGAGAGAGAGUGAAUAACACGAGGAGGAAUAGAGCGAACCCUGUACUUACAGUACGCUGUGUUCAGCCCAGAGGUGAGAGCCAUUCAAAGCAAACUAACUGUGCUAUUGUGCCCAAGUUGAUACCUGUGGAGAGAAAAGGAGAGAGAGUGAAUAACACGAGGAGGAAUAGAGCGAACCCUGUACUUACAGUACGCUGUGUUCAGCCCAGAGGUGAGAGCCAUUCAAAGCAAACUAACUGUGCUAUUGUGCCCAAGUUGAUACCUGUGGAGAGAAAAGGAGAGAGAGUGAAUAACACGAGGAGGAAUAGAGCGAACCCUGUACUUACAGUACGCUGUGUUCAGCCCAGAGGUGAGAGCCAUUCAAAGCAAACUAACUGUGCUAUUGUGCCCAAGUUGAUACCUGUGGAGAGAAAAGGAGAGAGAGUGAAUAACACGAGGAGGAAUAGAGCGAACCCUGUACUUACAGUACGCUGUGUUCAGCCCAGAGGUGAGAGCCAUUCAAAGCAAACUAACUGUGCUAUUGUGCCCAAGUUGAUACCUGUGGAGAGAAAAGGAGAGAGAGUGAAUAACACGAGGAGGAAUAGAGCGAACCCUGUACUUACAGUACGCUGUGUUCAGCCCAGAGGUGAGAGCCAUUCAAAGCAAACUAACUGUGCUAUUGUGCCCAAGUUGAUACCUGUGGAGAGAAAAGGAGAGAGAGUGAAUAACACGAGGAGGAAUAGAGCGAACCCUGUACUUACAGUACGCUGUGUUCAGCCCAGAGGUGAGAGCCAUUCAAAGCAAACUAACUGUGCUAUUGUGCCCAAGUUGAUACCUGUGGAGAGAAAAGGAGAGAGAGUGAAUAACACGAGGAGGAAUAGAGCGAACCCUGUACUUACAGUACGCUGUGUUCAGCCCAGAGGUGAGAGCCAUUCAAAGCAAACUAACUGUGCUAUUGUGCCCAAGUUGAUACCUGUGGAGAGAAAAGGAGAGAGAGUGGGUAACACGAGGAGAGACCGAGGAAACCUGUACUUACGCCGCUGCCUGUGGAGAAAGAGAAAGCGACCGUUGCCUGUGGAGGAAGAGAAAGAGAGUGAGCACCCCGAGAACGAACUGUGUGAACCAGUACUUACCGUGAGCUGUAUUCAGCGAAGAGGAGGAAGAAGGAGGGCGCUACGGAUACCUAAGACUCAGGCCGGGGCCCGAGUCCCACGCCCCGGAUCCCCGUGGCCCCCUUGCUCCCUGACCUCUUCCCGGCCAUAGCCCAUCUGGAGGGCCGAGUCAGAGUUUAGUUUUAAUUGCCCUUUCCCUAUUCCCCAAGCUAUUUUUAAAUAUUUAAAUAAAGAUUGUUUUAUCACUUACUUGUUCUCGUGU